GGUCUGCCAGUACUCUGUCAGUAAGUGGAAUUAUCUCAUUAUUUUACUUGAGCAAGAGACACUUGUUUACUUGCAGAGCAUUUUAAAUUGGCAACUGCCCAAAAGAUUCAAUAACAAUAAUAUAACUAUGCCACGCAGAUAAGAAAAAGUAAAUAUAGCCUUUAGGGAACAAACUGUAUACUAGUUCAUGUGUAUUUUAACACCUUGAUAAAUGCUUUGUUAGUUUAGACAAUUCCACAUGUUAAUGUACAUGCCUCCAAGCUAAGAGUGGGUCCUUGUUAGCGUUCCUAGCCUAAAGUAGUGUAUGGCUACUCUAAGCAUGCUUUUGUGUUUGUGGAUGUGAUGCUGCAUGAUGUUUAGAAAUCAGCAGCUGAAAGGAGUGGGUCCUGUCCUGCUUGUGAGAGAGACCAGGUGCAGCAGUCACCAUGAGCUUUGCCAUCUGUGUGUGUGCGCUAUCCGCAGCGAUGCUGAUGAUGGGUGAAUUCACAAUGGCACAAGUAACAAUGAUGUCAAGUACAACAACUCUACAACACUCUACGGCAACAACAUCUCCAGAGGCACCACCUGACACCCAACCUUCUCCAGGAGCAACAGAAAGUCCAACAUCUUCAAUUCUUGAACCAACUGAAGCAACAACUUCAGUAUCAACAGCAGCAACAGCAGCAAAAGCAGCAACGACUGCAGCAUAUCCACCGAGUACACCAGAUAAAUCAACAUUUAUACCCAAUG
Clupea harengus (Atlantic herring) is the source of this 729-nucleotide long non-coding RNA. RefSeq lists it as uncharacterized. NCBI's taxonomy places the organism in Eukaryota, Metazoa, Chordata, Actinopteri, Clupeiformes, Clupeidae. The transcript is spliced from 3 exons. The record is from RefSeq and is a predicted model, not a curated record.